This is a long non-coding RNA of Jaculus jaculus (lesser Egyptian jerboa), 336 nucleotides long. RefSeq lists it as uncharacterized. Lineage: Eukaryota; Metazoa; Chordata; Mammalia; Rodentia; Dipodidae. The record is from RefSeq and is a predicted model, not a curated record. The transcript is spliced from 3 exons.
UUCACAGAAAGCUGGACUCACUCAGGAUCCCUUCUCUGCACUCUCUCCUCUAGAGCUCCAUCUCUGUGGAACGCCUGCUCCACCACAAGAAGCUAAUCGCUGGUGAUGCUGGAAACCCAGGAGGCAUGAAGCACGAACACUUGAAGAUACAUAGUGCUUAAACAUAAAGAAAAAUGUAGCUUCAGCAAUUUGUUUGUUUGUUCUGAAAGUUUUCAGAAAAGAAAAAGCAAAUUUAAGCACUUUCAUCAUUCUAUCUGAGCUCUUUUGACUUCCCCUGAGCCUUGGACUCGUUUGCUUGAAAUACCAUUUUCCAGCCUUUCACCCUAAGGAAGAAUC